CAAUAGCGUAUAUUAAAGUUGUUGCAGUUAAAAAGCUCGUAGUUGGGUUUCUGAUCGAGACAUCAGGUCGGGUCCGAGAGGAUCAUGUACUUUGAUUUUGUUUUGAUCAUCCUUGGGGAGAGCAUUUCUGGCAUUCAGUUGUCGGGAUUGGGAUCCUCAUCGUUUACUGUGAAAAAAUUAGAGUGUUCAAAGCAGGCCUCGGCCUCUGAAUACAUUAGCAUGGAAUAAUAAGAUAGGACUUUGGUGGUCUAUUUUGUUGGUUUGCACGCCAAAGUAAUGAUUAAUAGGGAUAGUUGGGGGUAUUCGUAUUCAAUUGUCAGAGGUGAAAUUCUUGGAUUUAUGGAAGACGAACUACUGCGAAAGCAUUUACCAAGGAUGUUUUCAUUAA
Molecule: ribosomal RNA, 388 nt
Filed under: uncultured eukaryote
Lineage: Eukaryota
Description: partial 18S ribosomal RNA
Rfam family: Eukaryotic small subunit ribosomal RNA
Source: RNAcentral